AGGGUUUGAUUCUGGCUCAGGAUGAACGCUGGCGGCGUGCUUAACACAUGCAAGUCGAACGAGAAUCACAUGAAGGAGUUUUCGGACAACAGAUUGUGAGGAAAGUGGCGGACGGGUGAGUAACGCGUGAGCAAUCUGCCUUGGAGUGGGGAAUAACAGCUGGAAACAGCUGCUAAUACCGCAUGAUGCAAGUGUCUCGCAUGGGACUGCUUGCCAAAGAUUUAUCGCUCUAAGAUGAGCUCGCGUCUGAUUAGCUAGUUGGUGAGGUAACGGCUCACCAAGGCGACGAUCAGUAGCCGGACUGAGAGGUUGGCCGGCCACAUUGGGACUGAGACACGGCCCAG
RNAcentral lists this ribosomal RNA (344 nucleotides) under uncultured bacterium. RNAcentral's name for it is "bacterial SSU rRNA". It matches the Rfam family "Bacterial small subunit ribosomal RNA", at positions 8 to 334 of the family's 1533-position model. The record is from RNAcentral.